UGGUGAAACCUCAUCUCUACAAAAAAAUACCAAAAAAAUUAACCGGCCAUGGUAUUGGGUGCCUGUAAUCCCAGCUAUUCAGGAAGCCAAGUUGGGAAGAUCGCUUGAGCCCGGGGAAGUUGAGGCUGUAGUGAGUUGUGAUUGUGCCAUUGCACCAGCCCGGGUGAUAGAGCAAGACCUCUGUCUCAAAAAAAAAAAGUAUCAGUAUAUAUGUUAAAGUAUUUAUUAAAGUAUACAACAAAUAUAUGUAAACAAUACACUCACAGUAUCAGAGUAUAAAAUGAUUACUGAAAAAUAAAUUAAUUUGAAUAGUUACUCCAGAAAAUAAUUAAUGGGGAUUCUACUUGAAAAUUCACUUUUUUAUUUUGGAAUUGUGUUGAUUUUUAUCCUGACACCCUUUGUUCUGGUAUUAAUUUCCAUUACUAAAUUUUCCCAGCUUACCUCCUUUGAAUGAAUUGGGCCUUUUGCCCCUUUUCUCACACUGACAGUAUCCCAAGAGUGGUAAUAGGUGGGCAUGAAUGAGAGGUUCUAGGUUCUUGGUGUGGGUCGCAGAGAUCUGUUUUUUCUGUCUCACAACCCGCUUAGGUGAAUCUGUCUCUGUCAUCAAGCACACUGAUCCCGUCCCUGACCCACGAGCUGUCAACCAAGAUAAAAAGAACAUGCUGUUUUCUGGUACAAACAUUGCUGCUGGGAAAGCUAUGGGAGUGGUGGUAGCAACUGGAGUUAACACUGAAAUUGGCAAGAUCCGGGAUGAAAUGGUGGCAACAGAGCAGGAGAGAACACCCCUUCAGCAAAAACUAGAUGAAUUUGGGGAACAGCUUUCCAAAGUCAUCUCCCUUAUUUGCAUUGCAGUCUGGAUCAUAAAUAUUGGGCACUUCAAUGACCCGGUUCAUGGAGGGUCCUGGAUCAGAGGUGCUAUUUACUACUUUAAAAUUGCAGUGGCCCUGGCUGUAGCAGCCAUUCCUGAAGGUCUGCCUGCAGUCAUCACCACCUGCCUGGCUCUUGGAACUCGCAGAAUGGCAAAGAAAAAUGCCAUUGUUCGAAGCCUCCCGUCUGUGGAAACCCUUGGUUGUACUUCUGUUAUCUGCUCGGACAAGACUGGUACACUUACAACAAACCAGAUGUCAGUCUGCAGGAUGUUCAUUCUGGACAGAGUGGAAGGUGAUACUUGU
This 1172-nucleotide small RNA is filed under the name Pongo abelii (Sumatran orangutan). RNAcentral describes it as "retained intron". Lineage: Eukaryota; Metazoa; Chordata; Mammalia; Primates; Hominidae. The record is from RNAcentral.